AGCUACUAAGGUAAGAAGAGCCAAGUGGAAGCCUAUGGAGCUCCCUCCAGCUAUCAAAUUAAUAGUGUGGAAGUGUCACAAUUUCUAUGGAGAAAUGUCUAAAGUUAAUGCUAUGCCCCACCCCCCC
Molecule: long non-coding RNA, 127 nt
Organism: Ailuropoda melanoleuca (giant panda)
Lineage: Eukaryota; Metazoa; Chordata; Mammalia; Carnivora; Ursidae
Exons: 2
Source: RefSeq, a predicted model, not a curated record